AAUUAAUAGUAAAUUUAAUAAUUAAUAGUAAUAAAAUAAUUAAUUAGGAAUAAAUUGUUGAUAAAUUAGUUAAUGAUAAUUAAUAAAUUAAAUAAUAAUUAAUUAUAAAUUAAUUAAUAAAUAAUUAAGUAAUUAGUAAUAAUUUAAUUAAUAGUUAUAAAUAAUAAAUUAAUAAAUUAUUUUAUUAUUUAACUAAUAUUUAAUGAUUUAAAUAUAUUAAUUUAAUUGAUUAAUUAUUUAAUAUCAUAAUUAAAAUAAUUUUGAGACUUUAAUUAACGUUGUUCUCACCUGAAAAUAAACUUAUUCCAGAAAAAAGGUGGAACAACAGUUCCGGCCUUAUACCGACUUAUUCUAAAAAUCCGAGAACAGUAGUCCUCAGGUGACAAACACAGCAUUUAGGAACAAAAGAGGGAACAUGGGCUUAUUUCCCCUCGUUUCUGAACCAAAUGCUACCUAAUGUAUCUUUAUUUUUAAUUAAUGAUUAUUUAAGAUUAACAUGAUAUUGAAUUAAAAAAAUAAAAUUAAGUAGGCAAGAAAAAUAUAUU
This 545-nucleotide long non-coding RNA is filed under the name Ananas comosus (pineapple). Its description in RNAcentral is "long non-coding RNA (ACOM_LNC005849)". The record is from RNAcentral. Lineage: Eukaryota; Viridiplantae; Streptophyta; Magnoliopsida; Poales; Bromeliaceae.